GACGAACGCUGGCGGCGUGCUUAACACAUGCAAGUCGAACGGAAAGGCCCUGCUUUUGUGGGGUGCUCGAGUGGCGAACGGGUGAGUAACACGUGAGUAACCUGCCCUGUACGUUGUGAUAACUUCAGGAAACUGGGGCUAAUACCGGAUAGGAGCUCCUGCUGCAUGGUGGGGGUUGGAAAUUUUCGGCGGUUGGGGGUGGACUCGCGGCUUAUCAGCUUGUUGGUGGGGUAGUGGCUUACCAAGGCUUUGACGGGUAGCCGGCAUGAGAGGGUGACCGGCCACAUUGGGACUGAGAUACGGCCCAGACUCCUACGGGAGGCAGCAGUGGGGAAUAUUGCACAAUGGGCGGAAGCCUGAUGCAGCAACGCCGCGUGCGGGAUGACGGCCUUCGGGUUGUAAACCGCUUUCGCCUGUGACGAAGCGUGAGUGACGGUAAUGGGUAAAGAAGCACCGGCUAACUACGUG
RNAcentral lists this ribosomal RNA (468 nucleotides) under uncultured bacterium. RNAcentral's name for it is "partial 16S ribosomal RNA". It matches the Rfam family "Bacterial small subunit ribosomal RNA", at positions 28 to 507 of the family's 1533-position model. The record is from RNAcentral.